UACGGAGGGUGCAAGCGUUAUCCGGAUUCACUGGGGUUAAAGGGUGCGUAGGCGGGUAUGUAAGUCAGCGGUGAAAUCCCCGAGCUUAACUUGGGAACUGCCGUUGAUACUAUAUAUCUUGAAUGUCGUGGAGGUUAGCGGAAUAUGUCAUGUAGCGGUGAAAUGCUUAGAUAUGACAUAGAACACCUAUUGCGAAGGCAGCUAACUACGCGAAUAUUGACGCUGAGGCACGAAAGCGUGGGGAUCAAACAGG
RNAcentral lists this ribosomal RNA (253 nucleotides) under uncultured bacterium. Its description in RNAcentral is "partial 16S ribosomal RNA". It matches the Rfam family "Bacterial small subunit ribosomal RNA", at positions 524 to 776 of the family's 1533-position model. The record is from RNAcentral.